Molecule: transfer RNA, 84 nt
Filed under: Clostridia bacterium
Lineage: Bacteria; Bacillati; Bacillota; Clostridia
Description: tRNA-Leu
Rfam family: tRNA
About the family: Transfer RNA (tRNA) molecules are approximately 80 nucleotides in length. Their secondary structure includes four short double-helical elements and three loops (D, anti-codon, and T loops). Further hydrogen bonds mediate the characteristic L-shaped molecular structure. tRNAs have two regions of fundamental functional importance: the anti-codon, which is responsible for specific mRNA codon recognition, and the 3' end, to which the tRNAs corresponding amino acid is attached (by aminoacyl-tRNA synthetases). tRNAs cope with the degeneracy of the genetic code in two manners: having more than one tRNA (with a specific anti-codon) for a particular amino acid; and 'wobble' base-pairing, i.e. permitting non-standard base-pairing at the 3rd anti-codon position.
Source: RNAcentral
GCGAGAGUGGCGGAAUAGGCAGACGCGCACGUUUGAGGGGCGUGUGGUAUUACCAUACGGGUUCGACCCCCGUCUCUCGCACCA